UCCUGGCUCAGGAGAACGCUGCGGCGUGCUAACACAUGCAAGUGACGAGGAUCUUAUGUGUGAUCCCUUCGGGGUGAACUUUUAAGAGGAAAGUGGCGGACGGGCGAGGUAACGCGUGAGUAACCUGCCCAUAAGAGGGGGAUAAUCCAUGGAAACGUGGACUAAUACCGCAUAUUGAAUAUUUACCGCAUGGUAGAUAUUUGAAAGAUUUAUCGCUUAUGGAUGGACUCGCGUCAGAUUAGCUGGUUGGUGAGGUAACGGCUCACCAAGGCGACGAUCUGUAGCCGAACUGAGAGGUUGAUCGGCCGCAUUGGGGACUGAGACACGGCCCAGACUCCUACGGGAGGCAGCAGUGGGGAAUAUUGCGCAAUGGGGGGAACCCUGACGCAGCAACGCCGCGUGCAGGAAGAAGGUCUUCGGAUUGUAAACUGUUGUCGCAGGGGAAGAAGACAGUGACGGUACCCUGUGAGAAAGUCACGGCUAACUACGUG
Molecule: ribosomal RNA, 491 nt
Filed under: uncultured bacterium
Lineage: Bacteria
Description: bacterial SSU rRNA
Rfam family: Bacterial small subunit ribosomal RNA
Source: RNAcentral